CGGGGCGUAGCGCAGUCUGGUAGCGCAUCUGCUUUGGGAGCAGAGGGUCGGGGGUUCAAAUCCCUCCGCCCCGACCA
This 77-nucleotide transfer RNA is filed under the name Pseudacidobacterium ailaaui. RNAcentral's name for it is "Acidobacterium ailaaui (wood decay metagenome) tRNA-Pro". It matches the Rfam family "tRNA". Rfam says of the family: Transfer RNA (tRNA) molecules are approximately 80 nucleotides in length. Their secondary structure includes four short double-helical elements and three loops (D, anti-codon, and T loops). Further hydrogen bonds mediate the characteristic L-shaped molecular structure. tRNAs have two regions of fundamental functional importance: the anti-codon, which is responsible for specific mRNA codon recognition, and the 3' end, to which the tRNAs corresponding amino acid is attached (by aminoacyl-tRNA synthetases). tRNAs cope with the degeneracy of the genetic code in two manners: having more than one tRNA (with a specific anti-codon) for a particular amino acid; and 'wobble' base-pairing, i.e. permitting non-standard base-pairing at the 3rd anti-codon position. RNAcentral also lists the same sequence under 5 other names. Lineage: Bacteria; Pseudomonadati; Acidobacteriota; Terriglobia; Terriglobales; Acidobacteriaceae. The record is from RNAcentral.